UAAUUGAGGCUCAAAUGCUUAAUGGCCG
This 28-nucleotide non-coding RNA is filed under the name Mus musculus (house mouse). Lineage: Eukaryota; Metazoa; Chordata; Mammalia; Rodentia; Muridae. The record is from RNAcentral.